UGGGGAAUUUUGGACAAUGGGGGAAACCCUGAUCCAGCCAUCCCGCGUGUGCGAUGAAGGCCUUCGGGUUGUAAAGCACUUUUGGCAGGAAAGAAACGUCAUGGGUUAAUACCCCGUGAAACUGACGGUACCUGCAGAAUAAGCACCGGCUAACUACGUGCCAGCAGCCGCGGUAAUACGUAGGGUGCAAGCGUUAAUCGGAAUUACUGGGCGUAAAGCGUGCGCAGGCGGUUCGGAAAGAAAGAUGUGAAAUCCCAGAGCUCAACUUUGGAACUGCAUUUUUAACUACCGGGCUAGAGUGUGUCAGAGGGAGGUGGAAUUCCGCGUGUAGCAGUGAAAUGCGUAGAUAUGCGGAGGAACACCGAUGGCGAAGGCAGCCUCCUGGGAUAGCACUGACGCUCAUGCACGGAAGCGUGGGAAGCAAACAGG
Molecule: ribosomal RNA, 429 nt
Filed under: Acidobacteriota bacterium
Lineage: Bacteria; Pseudomonadati; Acidobacteriota
Description: Acidobacteria bacterium partial 16S ribosomal RNA
Rfam family: Bacterial small subunit ribosomal RNA
Source: RNAcentral